RNAcentral lists this ribosomal RNA (146 nucleotides) under Amia calva (bowfin). Its description in RNAcentral is "partial ribosomal RNA". The record is from RNAcentral. Lineage: Eukaryota; Metazoa; Chordata; Actinopteri; Amiiformes; Amiidae.
UUUUAAAUAAAGACCUGUAUGAAUGGCAUCACGAGGGCUCAUCUGUCUCUCUUUUCCAGUCAAUGAAAUUGAUCUGCCCGUGCAGAACCGGACAUAUCCCCAUAAGACGAGAAGACCCUAUGGAGCUUUAACAAGAAUCAACCAUG